This is a long non-coding RNA of Cololabis saira (Pacific saury), 512 nucleotides long. RefSeq lists it as uncharacterized. The record is from RefSeq and is a predicted model, not a curated record. The transcript is spliced from 4 exons. NCBI's taxonomy places the organism in Eukaryota, Metazoa, Chordata, Actinopteri, Beloniformes, Belonidae.
UCGGCUGUAGAGUUUUACUUGCAGAGAAGUUCCUCAAAGAACUUCUUGGUCUGAUUAAAACAGGUGUGAGGAUGGAAGAAAGAAGAGAGGAAGAGAGAGAAAGAAGAUGGACAGACCGGGGAAGCCAACAGGCUCUGGCCCCGCCCCCUGGCUCUGGCCCCGCCCCCUGGCCCCGGGCCAGCAACCCGACAGCGCGUCACCGGUCUACAGUGAUGAAAGAAUCGAUCACACACUCUAGAAGUAAGUCCUACUUUGGAAGUCAGGACCAGGAUGAGAACCAGGAUCAGAUCCAGGACUAGGAUCAGAUCCAGGACCAGGAUGAGAACCAGGACUCGGAGAUGGACGGGGAUCAGAACCAGGACUCGGAGUCCAGCAGCAGGACCAAAGCAGGAUCUUCCUCCGCUGGUCUGCAGGUGGUGACGGUGAUGACAGCAGUCCUGCUGCUGCUUCGGGAGAAGGUGGUGAUGGUGAUGACAGCAGUCCUGUUGCUGCUUCAGGAGAAUUGGCAUAAG